AUAUUAUUAAGCGGAGGAAAAGAAACUAACAAGGAUUCCCCUAGUAAUGGCGAAUGAAGAGGGAACAGCUCAAGAUUGAAUCGAUUGUCUCAACGGACUUUCGAGUUGUAAUCUAGAGAAUGUGUGAUCAACCACGUGUACCCGGGCAUAACUCUUUGGAAAAAGGGAUCAUGGAGGGUGACAAUCCCGUCUAUGACUCGGAGUUCGCUGUGUUUGAGCAUACGUUCUAAGAGUCGGAUAGGUUGGGAUUCCUGUCCAAAGCAGGUGGUAAACUUCAUCUAAAGCUAAAUACCGGCCAGAGACCGAUAGCACACAAGUACCGUGAGGGAAAGGUGAAAAGAACUUUGAAAAGAGAGUUAAACAGUAUCUGAAAUUGCUAAGAGGUAACCGGUGGAAUCCAGCCAUAUUCCUUAGGCUAUACUUACUACUUUGCUGGCGUGAGACCUCAGUGCCAUUUCCUUCGCCGGUAUGGCAUGAACGUCUUGCGUUCAGUGGGUGGGUCCUGUAGCUUGAGGAGCGUCAGAAUCAUUUCUCUUCGCCGGAGAAGAUCCAGGGGAAGGUACGAAGCGGGGGGUUUCUUCCGUUUCGACUUAUAGCUUCUGGACCAUACGGUGGAGGGGAUUGA
This 625-nucleotide ribosomal RNA is filed under the name uncultured fungus. RNAcentral describes it as "eukaryotic LSU rRNA". It matches the Rfam family "Eukaryotic large subunit ribosomal RNA", at positions 40 to 602 of the family's 3401-position model. Lineage: Eukaryota; Fungi. The record is from RNAcentral.